RNAcentral lists this ribosomal RNA (473 nucleotides) under Grania sperantia. Its description in RNAcentral is "partial 16S ribosomal RNA". It matches the Rfam family "Bacterial large subunit ribosomal RNA", at positions 1824 to 2597 of the family's 2925-position model. The record is from RNAcentral. Lineage: Eukaryota; Metazoa; Annelida; Clitellata; Enchytraeida; Enchytraeidae.
UGCUUUAUGGGUAUAAAUAUAAAGUAAUCUCCUGCCCAGUGAAUUUUAACGGCCGCGGUAUCCUAACCGUGCAAAGGUAGCAUAAUAAUUUGCCUAUUAAUUGUAGGCUAGCAUGAACGGGGAAUCGAAAUAAGAUCUAUCUAAAUAAUAAAUAUUAAAAAUUAUUCUAAAAGUGAAGAAACUUUUAUUCCAUUAAAGGACAAGAAGACCCUAUAGAGCUUCAUCUUAAUAAAUAUUUUAUUUUACAAGAUUCGGUUGGGGCGACCUAUGAAAACUCAUCCUUUUAUAUCUUGAUUCAUUUAUCUAUUCAUUGAUCCUUUUAAGACCAAAAAAUAAAGCUACCUUAGGGAUAACAGUCUAAUUCUACUAUAGAGUCCCUAUCAACAGUAGAGAUUGGCACCUCGAUGUUGGCUUAGAUUUCCUUUGUGGCGCAGAUGUCAAUAUAAGGGGGUUUGUUCAACCCAUAAAUAUCU